AUACGGAGGGCGCGAGCGUUGUUCGGAAUUAUUGGGCGUAAAGCGUACGUAGGCGGUUGGUUAAGUUAGAUGUGAAAGCCCCGGGCUUAACCAGGGAACUGCAUUUAAAACUGGCGAACUAGAGUUGAGUAGAGGGGAGUGGAAUUUCAGGUGUAGCGGUGAAAUGCGUAGAGAUCUGAAGGAACACCAGUGGCGAAGGCGACUCCCUGGACUCGAACUGACGCUGAGGUACGAAAGCGUGGGUAGCAAACGGGAUUAGAAACCCUAGUAGUCC
RNAcentral lists this ribosomal RNA (274 nucleotides) under uncultured bacterium. RNAcentral describes it as "partial 16S ribosomal RNA". It matches the Rfam family "Bacterial small subunit ribosomal RNA", at positions 523 to 796 of the family's 1533-position model. The record is from RNAcentral.